Drosophila navojoa is the source of this 204-nucleotide long non-coding RNA. The record is from RefSeq and is a predicted model, not a curated record. NCBI's taxonomy places the organism in Eukaryota, Metazoa, Arthropoda, Insecta, Diptera, Drosophilidae.
UGAAAAUGAGAAAAUCGUUGAAAAAGCCCAAAGCGGCUGCUUCUAUCGAGUUGUGCCAAAUCCAAACAUGCCGCACAGCACUCCAAUGAAGCAGGUCAAAAUGCAUGGCCAAAUUACUUUCCCGAAUGCAUUCCAUAUAAAUCACAAAAAUUUAGCUAAAACUUUGCAAUUAAGAAGUCCGCUCGUCAGCAUCAGUGCGGCGAG